RNAcentral lists this ribosomal RNA (253 nucleotides) under uncultured bacterium. Its description in RNAcentral is "partial 16S ribosomal RNA". It matches the Rfam family "Bacterial small subunit ribosomal RNA", at positions 524 to 776 of the family's 1533-position model. The record is from RNAcentral.
UACGUAGGGUGCGAGCGUUAAUCGGAAUUACUGGGCGUAAAGCGUGCGCAGGCGGUCUCGUAAGCUGGGUGUGAAAGCCCCGGGCUUAACCUGGGAAUGGCAUUCAGGACUGCGAGGCUCGAGUGUGGCAGAGGGAGGUGGAAUUCCACGUGUAGCAGUGAAAUGCGUAGAGAUGUGGAGGAACACCGAUGGCGAAGGCAGCCCCCUGGGCUGAGAUUGACGCUCAGGCACGAAAGCGUGGGGAGCAAACAGG